AACGGCCAUACCAGGCUGAAUAUAUCGGUUCUCGUUAGAUCACCGAAGUCAAGCAUCAUUGGGCGCGGUCAGUAGUUGGGUGGGUGACCACCUGUGAACACCCCGUACGU
Molecule: ribosomal RNA, 110 nt
Filed under: Caerostris extrusa
Lineage: Eukaryota; Metazoa; Arthropoda; Arachnida; Araneae; Araneidae
Source: RNAcentral